UGAUAUCUAACCAUACAAUGAAUACUUUUGUAAUUAAUCAAACCUUUGACAUAUAUUUUUGACUAUUUCCAACGAACAAGCUAGCUAUCGAAAAGUGUCAGCGUGUGUAGUUAAAUUAGCCUGCUAACGUCUCCAUAGCUAGUAGCAUGUAAUCAGGACAUGACCAAACUGUUGCUGAGAUAAUAGAUGUUGAAACUUCCAAGGAGAAAAGAGGCAUUGUUGAAACUCACUCAUAUGCUUGCAGUGUAAAAAAGGGGGGUGAAUGCGAUUCAUAACCGAAUACCCCAACCAAGGAGCAGCUUCCAUUUGACAAAGAAGCUCUGAAUCGUCUGUGGCCGAUAACUGAGAGAGCAAGGAAGGAAGGGAAAAGGGGAUACUUUGCGGGAGCUAAGGCUUUUGUUAAUGGAAGGGAAAUUCGCGCUGACGCCUAGUUUGUUGACUGCUGGACUUGUCAAGAUCACGUUGUUGUUGUCAGCGUAGAAGAGUACAGAGAUGGGACUGAGCUUGGUGGUUGUGCAGCACGCUUUGGGAACCUCAUCCGGCUUCAGAAGGUGAACCUGCCAUUGAAAACGGGUUGGGAGGAGGACAUGCUGCCUGAGGAGAGGGAGGUUCCUCUGGUAAACCUCUACCUAACCACCAAGAGAGUGGAGGACAUCGCCCUGAGGCUCGUCUCCCUGCGCCAGGCCUUCACUACCCUGCUUGGUUCCACCCUGAGCAGGAACCAUCUGUUUGUGGCGGGAAAGGUCCUCCUGGGCGCACUGGUUCGGGCCAACCACAUGGACGAGGCCAAGUUCAUCCGUACUUAUAACGACUUUGUGGACUACCUGAGUGACCCCUCCAAGCGGAAUGACACUGAGAGGGAGCUGGCUGAGGCAAAGAUCCAUCAUGUGAACAUGAUAGAUGUCCUCUUUGAGCUGGUGCUGUUUGGGAUGAUGACAGCUCAGAAGUCCCUGAUGGUCCACGCCGGUGGGUUUGUGGAGGAUCUGUACGCUCUCCUGUACUCCUUCCUGCCCACUGCUGCCAACAUGGAGCCAGAGGCUGACAGAUACCUGCUGCUGCUCAAUUCGAAGCAAAGAGGAGCACGACUGAAACCUCCGCGCGAUGCUGCAAAGGUCCCGCGAGAGAGGAGUCCGGCUCAACCCGAGAAGAGCACAGUCGGCGCUACAGAGGUCAGCUACUUCGGACAUCUUCUCACAGCGACUGGAAUCAAGCCAGAUCCACAGAAGAUCUCAACCAUAAAAGAAAUGGAGCCACCAAAGAACCGUGCAGAGCUGGAAACAGUGCUUGGCAUGGUCAACUACUUAGCCAAGUUCGCACCCAGCCUCUCCAAUGCUAAUGCACCCCUGCAUCAACUGCUAAAGCAGUCCAGUGAGUUUCUCUGGGACAAGCAACACGACAUUGCUUUCCAGAAAUGUGAAAGACUUGAUCACGAGAGAACCAGGAACAAUCCUUGCCUACUACGACCCCGACAAAGAGCUCAGACUCCAAGUAGACGCAUCGAAGUAUGGACUAGGUGCAGUGCUACUGCAAGAAGGAAAGCCCAUCGGCUACGCUUCCAAAUCUCUCACAGAUUGUGAAAUCAACUACGCUCAAAUUGAAAAGGAGGUCUAUGCCAUUCUGUUCGGAUGUAAACGUUUCCAUCAGUACGUAUAUGGACGACAAGUCAUUGUGGAAUCCGAUAUGUCUUGAACGACGCCCCUCAAACACCAAAGAGCCAAUGUUACCUCACUGUAUCCCAGACCGACCCUGGAAGGUCGUGGCAACCGAUCUGUUCACCUGGAACAACAAGAACUACAUCAUAACAGUUGACUACUACAGCAGAUACUUCGAACUCGACAAGCUUCACAGCACCACAUCUGCAGCUGUGAUACACAAGCUGAAAGCAGCCUUUGCCAGGCAUGGCAUUGUAGAGACUUUAAUAUCUGACAAUGGGCCCUGUUACAAAUCAAAUGAGUUUGAAUCCUUCACAAAAGCAUGGGAGUUUACGCGUCACCACAAGCCCACAUUACCCUCAAAGUAAUGGCCUUGCUGAAAAAUCAGUGCAGAUUGCUAAAUCACUCAUGGAUAAAGCAGACAAGAGAGACCCCUACCUCAGCCUCCUUGAAUACCGCAACACUCCAGAUGACAACUUAAAAUCACCAGCCCAGCUGUUGAUGAGCCGCAGACUUCGCUCAAUCCUUCCCAGCACCAACCAGCAGCUACAACCUGAGGUCGUCAGCUACAAGGAAAUGCAUGAAAAACGUGCACAGAGACAACAACAACAAAAGCGAUACUACGACAGGUCAGCUAGACCACUGCCACCACUGAUCGACGGAGAGUCAGUUUUAAUCCAGGAGCAUGGCCUCUGGAAGCCAGCAGUCGUCAUCCAGCCAGCUGACACUGAACGUUCAUAGCACGUCCUCACCGCAGAAGGAGCAGUGUACCGCCGCAAUCGUCGUCACCUACUGAACACAAAAGAACAACACACUGAUGAGAUGAACUGUUCCCCUGAAAGAGAACGUGAUGGACUAAACACACACAUCACAACAUACACCAUACUUACCUGCAACACCACAAGAGCUGUUGACUGACACAGAAGCAUGCUCAGCAUCAUAUCGCACAAGGUCAGGAAGAGAGGUCAAGCCCAGAGCUGUCCUAGAACUGUGAAAUGUCAAAGGGUGUAGGCGGAUCGCUGCCCUAAAAGAGUUCCACACUGUAAACUUGUUAUUGAAAGUUCACUUGAAAUGCUUUGGUAUUGUAUUUGUUUGAAAUGUUAAGAUGUAUUUCUACUGUGAAAGCUGAGUUGCUGAGAAUCCCUUGUUCGAAAAGUAACAGUAUGUUGGACCAUUGUUUCAGAGUCUAUGUUGAUUCAGUUGGUGUAGUAUAAAAUAUAAAUGGUUACUUACCUUGAGUUCAAACUGCAGAGCAUGUUUUCAAAAGAAACGCUUAGAAUAUGUAAACAUUUUUCUUUUGUUUUAAAAGAAGGGGGAUGUAAUAUUCAUAUGUGUAAACAUACUGAGUAAUAAUUGGAUGCGUUUUACCGCCAUAUCAUACUGUGCUAUGAUUGGUUAAGACCACCCAAAUGGUUAGGUCAUGGUCAGUUUGAUCCUGGUUGGCGAUACGUGAACAUGCCAGUUAUAGCUAGCUAAUAAAGAGCUAUGUUAAGAAACAUCCUGUAGUACUGCAUUUUAUUAUUUUGUACAAAGUGUGCAAAACAAGACAGUGCAGACGAGGAAUGCAGUGUGCUCCUGUGCCGGGGCAAAGCUUUCAGCGAUUUCACCGGACCAGACUGUCGGUUUCUGUCAUUUAAAAAAGGAGAGACUAUAUAUGUCU
Salvelinus fontinalis (brook trout) is the source of this 3312-nucleotide RNA transcript. RefSeq lists it as uncharacterized. The record is from RefSeq and is a predicted model, not a curated record. The transcript is spliced from 10 exons. NCBI's taxonomy places the organism in Eukaryota, Metazoa, Chordata, Actinopteri, Salmoniformes, Salmonidae.